ACAGAGGGUGCAAACGUUGUUCGGAAUUACUGGGCGUAAAGCGCGUGUAGGCGGUCGUGCAAGUCGGGUGUGAAAGCCCUGGGCUCAACCCAGGAAGUGCACUCGAAACUGCUCGACUUGAGUCUCGGAGAGGGAAGCGGAAUUCUGGGUGUAGAGGUGAAAUUCGUAGAUAUCCAGAGGAACACCGGUGGCGAAGGCGGCUUCCUGGACGAGUACUGACGCUGAGACGCGAAAGCGUGGGGAGCAAACAGG
This 252-nucleotide ribosomal RNA is filed under the name uncultured bacterium. RNAcentral describes it as "partial 16S ribosomal RNA". It matches the Rfam family "Bacterial small subunit ribosomal RNA", at positions 525 to 776 of the family's 1533-position model. The record is from RNAcentral.